This is a non-coding RNA of Schistosoma rodhaini, 45 nucleotides long. Lineage: Eukaryota; Metazoa; Platyhelminthes; Trematoda; Strigeidida; Schistosomatidae. The record is from Rfam.
AUCCAGCUGAUGCGUCACAAAUAGGACGAAACGCUCGUCCUGAAU